This 468-nucleotide ribosomal RNA is filed under the name uncultured bacterium. RNAcentral describes it as "partial 16S ribosomal RNA". It matches the Rfam family "Bacterial small subunit ribosomal RNA", at positions 28 to 507 of the family's 1533-position model. The record is from RNAcentral.
GACGAACGCUGGCGGCGUGCUUAACACAUGCAAGUCGAACGGAAAGGCCCUGCUUUUGUGGGGUGCUCGAGUGGCGAACGGGUGAGUAACACGUGAGUAACCUGCCCUUGACUUUGGGAUAACUUCAGGAAACUGGGGCUAAUACCGGAUAGGAGCUCCUGCUGCAUGGUGGGGGUUGGAAAGUUUCGGCGGUUGGGGAUGGACUCGCGGCUUAUCAGCUUGUUGGUGGGGUAGUGGCUUACCAAGGCUUUGACGGGUAGCCGGCCUGAGAGGGUGACCGGCCACAUUGGGACUGAGAUACGGCCCAGACUCGUACGGGAGGCAGCAGUGGGGAAUAUUGCACAGUGGGCGGGAGCCUGAUGCAGCAACGCCGCGUGCGGGAUGACGGCCUUCGGGUUGUAAACCGCUUUCGCCUGUGACGAAGCGUGAGUGACGGUAAUGGGUAAAGAAGCACCGGCUAACUACGUG